This 254-nucleotide ribosomal RNA is filed under the name uncultured bacterium. RNAcentral's name for it is "partial 16S ribosomal RNA". It matches the Rfam family "Bacterial small subunit ribosomal RNA", at positions 524 to 776 of the family's 1533-position model. The record is from RNAcentral.
UACGUAGGGGGCGAGCGUUGUCCGGAUUUAUUGGGCGUAAAGAGCUCGUAGGCGGUUCGGCAAGUCGGAUGUGAAAUCUCCACGCUCAACGUGGAGGGGCCAUUCGAUACUGCCGUGACUCGAGUCCGGUAGGGGAGUGUGGAAUUCCCGGUGUAGCGGUGAAAUGCGCAGAGAUCGGGAGGAACACCCGUAGCGAAGGCGGCACUCUGGGCCGUGACUGACGCUGAGGAGCGAAGGCGUGGGGAGCGAACAGG